RNAcentral lists this ribosomal RNA (484 nucleotides) under uncultured bacterium. RNAcentral describes it as "partial 16S ribosomal RNA". It matches the Rfam family "Bacterial small subunit ribosomal RNA", at positions 30 to 507 of the family's 1533-position model. The record is from RNAcentral.
UGACCGCUGGCGGCAUGCCUUCCACAUGCAAGUCGAACGGCAGCACGGGUGCUUGCACCUGGUGGCGAGUGGCGAACGGGUGAGUAAUACAUCGGAACAUGUCCUGUAGUGGGGGAUAGCCCGGCGAAAGCCGGAUUAAUACCGCAUACGAUCUACGGAUGAAAGCGGGGGACCUUCGGGCCUCGCGCUAUAGGGUUGGCCGAUGGCUGAUUAGCUAGUUGGUGGGGUAAAGGCCUACCAAGGCGACGAUCAGUAGCUGGUCUGAGAGGACGACCAGCCACACUGGGACUGAGACACGGCCCAGACUCCUACGGGAGGCAGCAGUGGGGAAUUUUGGACAAUGGGCGAAAGCCUGAUCCAGCAAUGCCGCGUGUGUGAAGAAGGCCUUCGGGUUGUAAAGCACUUUUGUCCGGAAAGAAAUCCUUGGCCCUAAUACGGUCGGGGGAUGGCGGUACCGGAAGAAUAAGCACCGGCUAACUACGUG